GGUAGCUUCUGCCUUUAAAUGCCCUGAGGCAGCCUAGCAGAAUGCAGCUGCCUACUUUCCUCUCCCACCUGCUAUGGGGUUAAAAACUGGAAGCCUGUUUGCUACUGAAGGCAGAAGAACACCCUGCCUGGUCCGGGAACUUGUCAGAGGCAUGGAAAACAUUCUGGAGCAGUUAGAAGCCUGGAGGAUUCUUUGGAGACUGGAGAACUGCAGUUUCAGACCAGAUGGCAGCCAUUUCUCUGUGAACCUCCACCCUAUUAAAGGCUUUUGAAAAUUCCAGAGUCUGAUGCAGGAGGGGGAGGAGGAGGAGGAGAUCACACUGGUGGCAGCUGGUGCCCCUCUGCCAGGUGCUCUGCGCAUCCACCCAGAGGUUGGGAUUCAUAUCAUUUGGACAUAUCCCAGCAUGAGAGUACCGCAUUGGAGGCAAGGCAGUACCUUCUAAAGGGACCUCCAGAAGCAGUAGGAGAAGGAUCUCCCCAGACAACAUCCAUAUCCAUAUCCAUCGAAUGAAGAGUUUGAAAAAGAACAUCUCAGAAAGUCUCCUGAGAAAAGAACAAUAUUGGACUGGUGGGUCUGGGUGUGUCUCUGCCUGAAUUAAACAAAACAAAACAAAUAAAAGCAAAGAAACCAGCUACACCUGCUUUACCUAAACACUCACAGACUUCCUUUCCACCUUGGUCGAUGGUGCAGUCUGAUCUGGACCUUGUUGGAUUAAAAGUCCUGGGAAAUAGCCCCCUUAUUUUAAGCGAAAGGCUCUUAGUCCGAGCCAGUUAGCUGUAUUUAUACCCUGCCUCUGUACAACAAGUUGGAAAAAGUAAACUCUAUUUCUGU
Molecule: long non-coding RNA, 831 nt
Organism: Hemicordylus capensis (graceful crag lizard)
Lineage: Eukaryota; Metazoa; Chordata; Lepidosauria; Squamata; Cordylidae
Exons: 4
Source: RefSeq, a predicted model, not a curated record